UGCCAAGCAGUGAUGAUGAUGACUAAUGUCAACAGUCCUGAAACUACCUGAUGCUUUUCAGUCACUACCUCAUCUGAGCUUGCA
Molecule: small nucleolar RNA, 84 nt
Organism: Oncorhynchus kisutch (coho salmon)
Lineage: Eukaryota; Metazoa; Chordata; Actinopteri; Salmoniformes; Salmonidae
Source: Ensembl